Long non-coding RNA from Bufo bufo (common toad), 148 nucleotides. RefSeq lists it as uncharacterized. The transcript is spliced from 3 exons. Lineage: Eukaryota; Metazoa; Chordata; Amphibia; Anura; Bufonidae. The record is from RefSeq and is a predicted model, not a curated record.
CCCACGUUCCUAACAGUCAUGGUACACGGUCCCCAUGACCUCUCCAGCUGCCAUAUUGUUGUCUCUAAUUCCAGGUCUCGCAUAAGGUCUCUGCUAUCUUCGGAGCCAUGUCUCAGGUGUCAGAUGUCGACGACGCAUUGUCCCUCCC